GAUUAUGGUGGCCAUGCUCAGGGCUUCUUCGGAAGCGCCGGUUCCAGUGCUCCGGUCUACCAACCUGUGUAUGGUCACCACCCUU
Molecule: non-coding RNA, 85 nt
Filed under: Pseudomonas helmanticensis
Lineage: Bacteria; Pseudomonadati; Pseudomonadota; Gammaproteobacteria; Pseudomonadales; Pseudomonadaceae
Source: RNAcentral